CCAGAUUGACAUAUAAUACCCUUCCCAGUCUUGUUUUUCAACUUAAAUUAUAUAUUCCCCAAGUCCCUGGCUGAAUAAAUAAACUGAAUCAGGGGUGGGGUGUCCAACUUUGAAUAACACCACUCUGGUCUGUGAAACUCUAGAUGCCUUUGUCUGGGACCUAGACCCAUUGUUCUUGCUUGGCAAUAAUGGUUUGAUUCUCACAUUAAAUGCAUUAGUUUGAUAAAGGGCCAAGAAGUGCACACUCAUGAAUCUGAAAUGACCCCUUUCCUUACCAAGGCCCUGGCAUGGACAGCUAUCUGCAGGAGAUGAAAGGGGCCCAGCUUCUAUUUUUGUGGUCUCCCCAAGGAGCAAACUUUUUAUGUCUACUUUGAUGUAGACAUAAAAAGGCAUUUCUAACCGUAUAAGAAGUCCAGCUACCCUGAGGCCGUGGACUGCAGCUGCACUCCAGUCUUUAAGCCCAGCUGUGCUCGGGUGUCUCACUUUCUACACCCCACCCUCAGCAUCAGAUAUACUCUAUCUCAGAAGCAAAAAGCCAUCCAUGAACAAAGACCUGGGACCAAGCCGACUCAUAAUACUAGUGGGAAACGGCCCCACCAGCAGCCCGCACCUGCAUCCUGCUCUCCCGCUGCCUCACUGGACCCUUGCAGUUAACUGGGACUUCAGCAGAGCAGAGCCUCAUCUUACGGAGGUCAAGUGUCCCACUGCUGCAGGGCCUUCAACCUGGAUCAUCCAGGUCUUCACAGGACUCCUCCCCCAGAAUGAUGCCUCCUUUGACAAUAGCUGGAGAUGUCAGAAAUGAGAUCAUUACUCAGCACUGGAUGCAGUGCUAUCUGGUGAUGUAGGAAUAGGAGAGGUAUCCAUUGGUUCAGACUCUUCAGUUGACGCCUCCACUGUAGUUUCUGUAAUGACAUCUGGCCUCAUAGCAGCAUGGAUAAAUUCUGGAGUUGAUACACAGGAGGGACAAAUACUUCCACAGGACUUCUCGAAUCCCUCAAGCAGGUAGGAGAUUCCACAUGAAGCAGGGCUUCAGCAGCUUCGACUGUCUUAUCUGUACAGUGUACAUUACUGCUGUGAGCAGAUGCUUCCACCCCCGAGAUGAGCAGAUCCAGCUGGUUCAUGGGUCCCUCAUGCAGAGACGUUGCCACGUUCAUCCCGGGGCUGGAGCUGCUGCUUCACAGGGAAGCAAGCCAAUGACGAUCCCAGUUUGGACAACAAAUUCUGUAACCUGGAGCUCUGACAGCUUCUCAUCCUCCAGGUGAAGGUUCCAGCAACGACCAGCCCUCGAUUGGCCUUGGUUCCUUCAUUUUCAUUUCUUUAAUGACUGGUGAAGGUUUUAUUGUUUUGCUUUUGUUCCCCCCCACCCCUCAAACUCUGUGCCUGUUUAAAUGUAUCCUGUGGCUACAUCUUCAUCCUUCCUCUCUCAAAUCCUACUGCAAAGCAAAGGAUGCAGACGGGGGUUGUAGUGAAAGGGAGCUGGGAUCAUCAGAAUGGCCUAUAGGUUAACCUCCCCAUACAAAUUACAAUGGAGACCUCCCUAGCUAUGAGAACAUGGGAGACUGAGCCAGGAGAUAGGGUGGAGGUGUGCAAAGAAGUCAUUGGCAGAAAGAGUGAUGGUGGUAGCGUAUUUCUUCCCUUUUCUGGGUGAUGGUGGGCUUUCUGAGCUGACACCUGCUUUAUCCUGGGCCUACUGCCUUCCAUGGGACUCUCACAUCCCGGAGGCUUAGUGUCCCUUCCUAACCACAGGGAUCCAGCACUUAAGCUCACUCUAUACAGCUGUUUUGCCUUCAAAGACUAGUACUUCUAAUACACAUUCUCCACUUUCUCUCCAAUAGUGGUGUUGGCUUCUCACACUGUUAUAAAGAAAUACCUGAGACUAGGCAAUUUAUAAAGAAAAGGGAUUUAAUUGGCUCACAGUUCUGCAGACUGUACAGGAAGCAUGGUGCCAGCAUCUGCUUGGCUUCUGGAGAGUCCUCAGGAAGCCUACAGACAUGGUGGAAGGCAAAGGGCAAGCAGACACCUCACAUGGCCAGAGCAGGAGGAAGAAGGAGGGGGAAAUGCCAUACACUGUUAAACAACCAGACCUCAUGAGAACUCACUCACUAUACAGUACCAAAUGCUAAACCAUGAGAAACCAGCCCUGUGAUCCAAUCACCACCCACCAGGCCCCACCUCCAAUAUUGGGGAUUACAAUUGAGCAUGAGAUUUGGGUGGGGACAUAGAUCCAAACCAUAUCACCAAGUCCUCUGGAUUUCCUUCCAAUGUUCCUAUUCUGUGGCCAGAGUAAAUGGCUCAAGUGAAAAUUCAACUAGGCUCUAAUCCAAGGACCUUGGGUUGGUCACUUACCUACC
This 2351-nucleotide long non-coding RNA is filed under the name Homo sapiens (human). RNAcentral's name for it is "non-protein coding lnc-FOXC1-2:2". The record is from RNAcentral. Lineage: Eukaryota; Metazoa; Chordata; Mammalia; Primates; Hominidae.